UAUUCACACAUGAAACCCUAGCCUCCAUCAUAAGGAAGAAACACACUACAGUGGGGAAGAGAGGAGGCGGCCCCACUUUUGUGGGAGAGGUUAGAUUUGUGGUAGAGUACCGACACGACACGUGAUGACGUUAAUCCUUUGGGAGAUUUUGAGUUGUUAAGUGUGCAGGAAAAAGGGUCUAAACUCAUGCAAGGGAUACCGAAGGCAAAUCAACUGUAAAAGAAUGCAAAAAAGGUACAAAUUGUUCAGUAGACCGCACCGUGGAGUUAGAGUACAGGAGGAGGUUGGCUUAGAAGAUUCAGAAGGGCAGAAAUGUCAAACCAAUAUAGGAGUAUCCAUAGGGAUUGAGGUCACAUCAUCCUAAGGGCUGAACAUGAAGAUAAUUAUCACUCACCACGCCUGAUCAUCAUUCACCACUCAACAUCUUUCACUCCAGCUCACACUUGAAGCCUUCGGCUACCAACUGAAGGGGGAGGUUCAUCAUGCCAGUGGCGUUCCAGCCGUCGUAGUUAGCCAAGCAGUUUCAUUGCUCUUAGGAGUAAAAACAAUCUACUUUAUGGUUUACAUUUUUAUUUCGGUUUAGAUCUUGCUACUGUUUCGUUUUUCGGAUCUCCAUAGUCAAACUCUAGGUUGAUUUCAUUUUGUUGUUGGAUCCUUUGGAUCUUGAUUUCAUUUUAUGGUAUGAAGUUUUUAUUUGGUUCA
Molecule: long non-coding RNA, 702 nt
Organism: Salvia hispanica
Lineage: Eukaryota; Viridiplantae; Streptophyta; Magnoliopsida; Lamiales; Lamiaceae
Source: RefSeq, a predicted model, not a curated record